GAGUUUGAUCCUGGCUCAGAUUGAACGCUGGCGGCAUGCCUUACACAUGCAAGUCGAACGGCAGCACGGGAGCUUGCUCCUGGUGGCGAGUGGCGAGCGGGUGAGUAAUGCAUCGGAACGUAUCCUGGAGUGGGGGAUAACGUAGCGAAAGUUACGCUAAUACCGCAUAUUCUGUGAGCAGGAAAGCGGGGGACCUUCGGGCCUCGCGCUCUUGGAGCGGCCGAUGUCGGAUUAGCUAGUUGGUGAGGUAAAGGCUCACCAAGGCGACGAUCCGUAGCAGGUCUGAGAGGAUGAUCUGCCACACUGGAACUGAGACACGGUCCAGACUCCUACGGGAGGCAGCAGUGGGGAAUUUUGGACAAUGGGGGCAACCCUGAUCCAGCCAUGCCGCGUGAGUGAAGAAGGCCUGGUUGUAA
Molecule: ribosomal RNA, 416 nt
Filed under: bacterium enrichment culture clone ALO1_GLFRUDD03FLH8T
Lineage: Bacteria
Description: bacterial SSU rRNA
Rfam family: Bacterial small subunit ribosomal RNA
Source: RNAcentral